RNAcentral lists this non-coding RNA (173 nucleotides) under Eucalyptus grandis. Its description in RNAcentral is "Bacterial large subunit ribosomal RNA". It matches the Rfam family "Bacterial large subunit ribosomal RNA", at positions 1033 to 1204 of the family's 2925-position model. Lineage: Eukaryota; Viridiplantae; Streptophyta; Magnoliopsida; Myrtales; Myrtaceae. The record is from Rfam by way of RNAcentral.
CACUAGCUAAGGCCCUCCAAAAACUACGUAGCCGCAAAGGAGGUAGGAGUACAAAGAUGGUUAGAAGGUUUGCUUAAAAGCAGUCACCUUUAAAAGAGUUCGUAAAAAAAACUCAUCAAUCGAGCACUCUUACAUCGAAGAUAGAUGGGGUUAAGUGAUUGGCCGAAACUGUG